This 103-nucleotide microRNA precursor is filed under the name Marmota monax (woodchuck). The record is from RNAcentral. Lineage: Eukaryota; Metazoa; Chordata; Mammalia; Rodentia; Sciuridae.
AGUAAAAUUGCUGGGUUGUAUGAUAGUUAUGUGCUUAGUUUUUUGGAAAAUUGCCAAACUGAUUUCCAGAAUGGCUGUACCAUUUUAUGUUUCUCUCAGCAAC